UAGCGUAUAUUUAAGUUGUUGCAGUUAAAAAGCUCGUAGUUGGAUUUCGGUUAAGAGCGACCGGUCCGCCGUUUGGUGUGCACUGGUUGGUUUUAACUUCCUGUAGAGGACGUGCUCUGGGCUUAACGGUCUGGACUCGGAGUCUACGUGGUUACUUUGAAAAAAUUAGAGUGUUCAAAGCGGGCUUACGCUUGAAUAUUUCAGCAUGGAAUAACACUAUAGGACUCCUGUCCUAUUUCGUUGGUCUCGGGACGGGAGUAAUGAUUAAGAGGAACAGUUGGGGGCAUUCGUAUUUCAUUGUCAGAGGUGAAAUUCUUGGAUUUAUGAAAGACGAACUUCUGCGAAAGCAUUUGCCAAGGAUGUUUUCAUUAAUCAAGAACGAAAGUUGGGGGCUCGAAGAUGAUUAGAUACCAUCCUAGUCUCAACCAUAAACGAUGCCGACUAGGGAUUGGCGGAUGUUAAUUGAUGACUCCGCCAGCACCUUAUGAGAAAUCAAAGUUUUUGGGUUCCGGGGGGAGUAUGGUCGCAAGGCUGAAACUUAAAGGAAUUG
RNAcentral lists this ribosomal RNA (550 nucleotides) under uncultured Chlorophyta. RNAcentral describes it as "SSU rRNA". It matches the Rfam family "Eukaryotic small subunit ribosomal RNA", at positions 595 to 1155 of the family's 1831-position model. Lineage: Eukaryota; Viridiplantae; Chlorophyta. The record is from RNAcentral.